This 253-nucleotide ribosomal RNA is filed under the name uncultured bacterium. RNAcentral describes it as "partial 16S ribosomal RNA". It matches the Rfam family "Bacterial small subunit ribosomal RNA", at positions 524 to 776 of the family's 1533-position model. The record is from RNAcentral.
UACGUAGGGCGCAAGCGUUGUCCGGAAUUAUUGGGCGUAAAGAGCUCGUAGGCGGCCUGUUGCGUCCGCUGUGAAAUCCCGGGGCUCAACCCCGGGCCUGCAGUGGAUACGGGCUGGCUAGAGGCAGGCAGGGGAGAACGGAAUUCCUGGUGUAGCGGUGAAAUGCGCAGAUAUCAGGAGGAACACCGGUGGCGAAGGCGGUUCUCUGGGCCGGUACUGACGCUGAGACGCGAAAGCGUGGGGAGCGAACAGG